AAGAAAUUAGUUUAAUAAUAAAACAUUAACUUGUCAAGUUAAAGAUACUAACCUAAGUAUUUCUUA
RNAcentral lists this transfer RNA (66 nucleotides) under Parathyginus sp. Its description in RNAcentral is "tRNA-Asp". It matches the Rfam family "tRNA". From Rfam's summary of the family: Transfer RNA (tRNA) molecules are approximately 80 nucleotides in length. Their secondary structure includes four short double-helical elements and three loops (D, anti-codon, and T loops). Further hydrogen bonds mediate the characteristic L-shaped molecular structure. tRNAs have two regions of fundamental functional importance: the anti-codon, which is responsible for specific mRNA codon recognition, and the 3' end, to which the tRNAs corresponding amino acid is attached (by aminoacyl-tRNA synthetases). tRNAs cope with the degeneracy of the genetic code in two manners: having more than one tRNA (with a specific anti-codon) for a particular amino acid; and 'wobble' base-pairing, i.e. permitting non-standard base-pairing at the 3rd anti-codon position. The record is from RNAcentral. Lineage: Eukaryota; Metazoa; Arthropoda; Insecta; Hemiptera; Heterogastridae.